Agelaius phoeniceus (red-winged blackbird) is the source of this 220-nucleotide non-coding RNA. Lineage: Eukaryota; Metazoa; Chordata; Aves; Passeriformes; Icteridae. The record is from RefSeq and is a predicted model, not a curated record.
UUACCCCAGUAUUAAAAUGAAGAAGUAGAGCUGGCAAUUCUGUGGUUCUUGAUCAGCGUGAGAGUCCAGCUUCAGCACAGCUCAAAGGGACACGGGGAACUCUGGGAUACUGGAACUCCCUGUGCUCGCUUUGGCACGGAUAUUCUCCGGGUUCAGACUGAAAAUACUCCUUCAGGUUGGUGUAUGCCAGGAUGUCUGAAGUCUUGGGAAUAAAAGGUGA